Molecule: long non-coding RNA, 312 nt
Filed under: Arachis ipaensis
Lineage: Eukaryota; Viridiplantae; Streptophyta; Magnoliopsida; Fabales; Fabaceae
Description: long non-coding RNA (AIPA_LNC001145)
Source: RNAcentral
AAGAACCAAAAAAGAAAAAGCAAAUAGAGAAAUGGAGAAUAAAAUCAGAGAACAAAGAAAUAAAACAAGAGAGGAAGAAAAGAACAUGGAAAGUGGGGGAGGAAGAAGAAGGAAAGAGAGAAGGAAGAAGGCAACAAUGGUGAGAAUCACUGCCACUGAUGUUGUUCCCGAGAUAGAGGGAAAGUAAGGGGGAUGAAGGUUGAAAGAGAGCAUGAAGGUGAGAUAGAAAGGGAGAGCGAUGGGUUGCUGAUAGGCCAUCGCGGAUGUGGCUCACUUUGUCAACCCGCUGUCGUUGCUGCUACUAGAGAGGAG